GUCCUUGCCGUAAACGAUGUAUACUUGAUGUAAUUGGGCUCAACCCUGAUUGUGUCGAAGCUAACGCGAUAAGUAUACCGCCUGGGGAGUACGCUCGCAAGGGUGAAACUCAAAAGAAUUGACGGGGGCCCGCACAAGCAGUGGAGCAUGUGGUUUAAUUCGAUGCAACGCGAAGAACCUUACCCAGGCUCGAAAAUGUAAUGGACGAUAUCAGAAAUGGUAUUUUCCGCAAGGACCGUUAUAUAGGUGCUGCAUGGCUGUCGU
This 264-nucleotide ribosomal RNA is filed under the name uncultured bacterium. RNAcentral describes it as "partial 16S ribosomal RNA". It matches the Rfam family "Bacterial small subunit ribosomal RNA", at positions 793 to 1055 of the family's 1533-position model. The record is from RNAcentral.